This 721-nucleotide ribosomal RNA is filed under the name uncultured bacterium. RNAcentral's name for it is "bacterial SSU rRNA". It matches the Rfam family "Bacterial small subunit ribosomal RNA", at positions 789 to 1515 of the family's 1533-position model. The record is from RNAcentral.
GGUAGUCCACGCCCUAAACGAUGUCAACUAGCUGUUGGGGCCUUCGGGCCUUGGUAGCGCAGCUAACGCGUGAAGUUGACCGCCUGGGGAGUACGGUCGCAAGAUUAAAACUCAAAGGAAUUGACGGGGACCCGCACAAGCGGUGGAUGAUGUGGAUUAAUUCGAUGCAACGCGAAAAACCUUACCUACCCUUGACAUGUCUGGAAUCCCAAAGAGAUUAGGGAGUGCUCGCAAGAGAACCGGAACACAGGUGCUGCAUGGCUGUCGUCAGCUCGUGUCGUGAGAUGUUGGGUUAAGUCCCGCUACGAGCGCAACCCUUGUCAUUAGUUGCUACGAAAGGGCACUCUAAUGAGACUGCCGGUGACAAACCGGAGGAAGGUGGGGAUGACGUCAGGUCCUCAUGGCCCUUAUGGGUAGGGCUUCACACGUCAUACAAUGGUCGGGACAGAGGGUCGCCAACCCGCGAGGGGGAGCCAAUCCCAGAAACCCGAUCGUAGUCCGGAUCGUAGUCUGCAACUCGACUACGUGAAGUCGGAAUCGCUAGUAAUCGCGGAUCAGAAUGUCGCGGUGAAUACGUUCCCGGGUCUUGUACACACCGCCCGUCACACCAUGGGAGUGGGUUCCACCAGAAGUAGUUAGCCUAACCGCAAGGAGGGCGAUUACCACGGUGGGGUUCAUGACUGGGGUGAAGUCGUAACAAGGUAGCCGUAUCGGAAGGUGC